GUAGACUUUUGCCCACACUUAUCUAUAAGGAAUUUAUAUAAAAUAUCCUAAUUAAUAGAUACAAUUGCCUUCCUAGGACUCUAUCCAUGCGUGGCAAUCAUCUUGAAGUACAUUAACGUGAACCCGAUGUCGCGUUCAAGCCGUAUUGUCGGAAUCGGCUGUAUCGGCUUAUUUAUCUCGACUCAGACCCAGCCGAUCUUAACCAUAGCCGAUCUGGACUCCAGCCGAUUCCUGCUCAGCCGAUUCCUGCUCUGUUUCCGAACUCGAUCUCCGCCUCCGACUCCGCUUUGAUCAAAUCCUCUUUCCUGACACAGAUGCUACCAAAUUUGGUUGUUAACACAUGCCCCCCAAGUCCGGGAUAUUCAAUAAUGUUUCGGAUUUGCCAUAUGCCGACUCCGAGCAAGUUUCACACUCUGCCGCUUUCGACCGUUAUUCCAGCGCUUUAAAUACUAACCGUUACCCCCGAGAAAUCUCACGCCGUGACUUCCGUUUUCACCGCUCAAGAGAAACCUUUUCUCUCUCUUCUCCAGCGAUUCCUCCGGCACAAAGGCGAUUCCUAGGCGAUUUCCUUCCGACGAGAUCUCCACCCGCACCAAUGUCAUCUUCCGCCAGCCCACCUGGUGCACCAUCGGCCGAAUACGCUGAGGUAAGUUCUCAUCGGCUAAAUCCCCUUCUUUAGCAGCAAAUCGAUCUUCUCCAAUCUGAUACCACUCUCUCCCUCUGAAUUGCUUUGGAUUUGUAGCACCUUUCCAACCUAGUUGCGAUUCCCAGCCUGUCGCAUGAAAAUCACUACUUUCUUGGCCCAGUCGGCAAUCCAGACCUCACCAAGUUCAUUAUUGGUGAAACCAAUAGGAUUCCCUUUAGAUUAACUAACCCAGAUCUAGGUCACUGGAAGAAUACCUUCAAAUCCUGGCUGUCUCUAGAGAAAGUUCCACCAGAAAAGAGCUGGACCACAUGGUUCAAACGUGUAUCAGCCAGCAAAAGGGUUCACUGGGAUGAAAUUGGAAUCGGCCAAGCACUUGAGCUUACUAUAGCGAACUCAGCCAAAGAUGAACCCCUGAUGGCAGCUGCUUCUUACUUUUGGUCAAACACUACUAAUGCCUUUCUGUUCAAUCAAGGGCCGAUGACUCCAACCCUCAUAGAUAUCAGUAUGAUCACAGGUCUGGAUGUCACCUCAUCGGCCAACCCUAUGAGUUUGAACACAAAGAACCAAUAUGACUUCAAAACCAAAAGCAUAGGGGGUUGGUCAGGCUAUGUGGCAGCAUACAUGGGCCAGGGCUCGGUCACCCCUCGAGAACAUGUGGCCUUUCUAUUAAUGUGGCUAGAAAAAUUUCUUUUCUGUGGAUCAAGUUGCGGCCCCACAACCAACUGGCAAUUUCUGGCUGAAGCUCUAGAAACAAAGAGACAAUUCCCCUUGGGCAAAAUUUUCCUCGGCUAUCUAUACCAGAUGUUGAGCAAUGCAUCGGCUAAGAUAGCAGUCGGCUCAGUAGUUGGAGCAGGUGGACCCUGGUGGCUGCUACAAACCUAGUUAAACCUGAUAGUCAUGAAGGUUGUCAAUCGGCCAUCCGUAUCAGAAGCUGAGUUCCCAAGACUAGAGCCAAUUGUAGAUGAUGAUGGAGAAGAGCGUACUCAUCGGAGAUGCACAUCAUACGGAGAAUACGCUUCUACACCAACUGACGCCGGAGCAAAACUAUCGGCUGAACUGCUCAAGGAUUGGUUUUGAAGCUUCUAUGAAGGCUUUCAAAAAGAUGCUAGAAUCUGGUUCCUUUAUGAAGACUCUGCACAACUUGAGCACCCAGUGGACUUCAGAUUUGAAGACAUCAACCAUAAAGUAUACCAAUCAUCCAGGGAAAUCUUCUCAGCUGCAAUCAGCUCAUGUAUCCUUCCUAUUGGCAUUCAUCAAGGAAGAAACAUCCAAGCUUCUUAUGAAUUCUAUCAUCCAAUAAGCUCAGCAAGACAACUCGGAAUGGGCCAACUCCCAAUCAGCUUAUUCUUUGCUAACAAGAUCCAAUGCCGAGGAGGGAUUUCAUCAACCCUGAUGAUGGAUCGGCUGCUUGGCCUUCAAGGACCCCCUCUGGGCAGUAUUGACAACAUAGAACUGGCAACAUUCAGAAGCAAAAGCUUUGACAGGUGGUGGGGUGAAUGGAAACUGCAUUUAAUCCACCAACCAGCUUCAAUGUACAUGACAGACCUCUUUCCAGAUGUUGUCCCUCAAACAACAGAAUCUUCCCCUCCUCAUCAAAGCAAUAGUGGCAAAGACAUCCAAUAUGCCCCAGGUUUAAUUCCUAACGGAGGUGUGUUAUCUCCUCCAGUUAUAGGCUAUGAUGCCCCCAAGACCUCAGCUCUUCUUCAAGGGCUCGUCAGAGAACCAGCCGAUGCCGGCAAAAAGAGGAAAACCAGAUCGUCGGCUGUAAGCAUCGUAGCCCCAAUUAAGAAGAAGAAGACAAAGAAAACCAAGCCGGCCGAUGAUCUGCCUGCCCUAGAUCCAUCCAUCGAACAAGCUCUGGAUGAAGAGGUAAUUGAAGACGAGGUUGAUCAGGCCGCAGCCGAAGUAAGUGAUACUGAAAGAACACCAUCGGCUUCACCUAAGCAAACCUCUCCAACUCCUUCUGCUCCGGUUCACUUCUCCAGGGUAAGUGUUUCUUAUUAAUCCCUUUCGUGAUUAUUUUGUCUUAUAGCCGAUCACUCCCAAGUCUUAUAAUUGUAGAAAAAGAAGACUGCAGUAAAGAAGAAAUCGGCUGUAACAACAUCUAAACCAGCUCCACCACCUUCACCUCCUCCUUCUCCUUCUGUUCAACAAUCAUCAAGUGAUCAGACCCCUUCAGCUGCGGGAAGUCAUCACGUCGAGGAAGAAGAACAACCAGUUGCUCCUGCUAUCCCAGUAUUAGCCGAUCUUUUCUCUUUUGACAUCAGAGACUACCUUGAUGAAGGAGAAGAAGAUACCACAAGCAAAGCCUUGGCUCCUUUAUCUGAUGAUGUGAAGAUAACUCUAGGAAGCAUUUUAGAUCGGCUAGAGGCAUCAUCGCUAGACAGCUUGGUGGUUAACUGUGGCUCAAUCAGGGCUCGGCUACAUGAGAUUCAACCUUUAAUCCCAGAUGAGUUAGCCGAUAUCCUUACUCUAGCCGUUUACCUUGAGCAACACCAAUUCAAACUGGAGAAAGCCAAGUUAAGACUAGCCGAACGGCGAGAACGUAAGGACAUUGAGGCCACUAUCCAAGCCAACCGAUAACUUGUGCAUGAAGAGAAGUCCAAGCUUGAUCAAUUAUCUGAAGGUCCAAUCAAGUCUAACAUUGAUCGGCUUGAGGCUCGCAAGAUUGACCUCUUAGCACAACUUGAAGAAUGUAACGCUGAGCUGGAUAUGGAACAUAAGAAACUAGCCGAUCUCCCCAAGUCUAUUGAAGAACAGAAAGCAAGACUCAAAUCGUCUAUUAAGCAUGUUGCUGAACUGACCAAGUCCCUGAAAGUUAUCCCUGGAACCGAUGCUCAAGAUGCCCAGGCCAUAGAGGAAGUAUAGCAGAUUAGGCAGAAGGCUAUAUCGGCUAUCCAGCAAUACGUAUCGCAAUAAUCUUUAUGUAAUAGGACUCAAAAAAUUUUUUAAUCGGCUGAGACAUUCUGAUACUCUACUGUCUUAACAAUCCUUUGUGCCGAUUAAUA
This is a non-coding RNA of Oryza sativa Japonica Group (Japanese rice), 3654 nucleotides long. Lineage: Eukaryota; Viridiplantae; Streptophyta; Magnoliopsida; Poales; Poaceae. The record is from RefSeq and is a predicted model, not a curated record.